RNAcentral lists this transfer RNA (75 nucleotides) under Dujonia railenensis. RNAcentral's name for it is "[Candida] railenensis transfer RNA-Met(CAT)". It matches the Rfam family "tRNA". From Rfam's summary of the family: Transfer RNA (tRNA) molecules are approximately 80 nucleotides in length. Their secondary structure includes four short double-helical elements and three loops (D, anti-codon, and T loops). The record is from RNAcentral. Lineage: Eukaryota; Fungi; Ascomycota; Pichiomycetes; Serinales; Debaryomycetaceae.
GCUUCACUAGCUCAGUCGGUAGAGCGUCAGUCUCAUAGUAUCUGAAGGUCGACAGUUCGAACCUGCCGUGGAGCA